Molecule: ribosomal RNA, 308 nt
Filed under: uncultured bacterium
Lineage: Bacteria
Description: partial 16S ribosomal RNA
Rfam family: Bacterial small subunit ribosomal RNA
Source: RNAcentral
GAGACAGCAGUCGCCACGGUAAUACAGAGGAUGCAAGCGUUAUCCGGAAUGAUUGGGCGUAAAGCGUCUGUAGGUGGCUUUUCAGGUCCGCCGUCAAAUCCCAGGGCUCAACCCUGGACAGGCGGUGGAAACUACCAAGCUGGAGUACGGUAGGGGCAGAGGGAAUUUCCGGUGGAGAGGUGAAAUUCGUAGAUAUUCGCAAGAACACCAGUGGCGAAGGCGGCUUACUGGCUCGAAACUGACGCUGAGGCGCGAAAGCGUGGGGAGCAAACAGGAUUAGAUACCCCCGUAGUCCCUGUCUCUUAUAC